UCUCCUGGAAACGGGUGGUAAUGCCGGAUGCUCCAGUUGAUCGCAUGGUCUUCUGGGAAAGCUUUCGCGGUAUGGGAUGGGGUCGCGUCCUAUCAGCUUGACGGCGGGGUAACGGCCCACCGUGGCUUCGACGGGUAGCCGGCCUGAGAGGGCGACCGGCCACAUUGGGACUGAGAUACGGCCCAGACUCCUACGGGAGGCAGCAGUGGGGAAUAUUGCACAAUGGGCGCAAGCCUGAUGCAGCGACGCCGCGUGAGGGAUGGAGGCCUUCGGGUUGUAAACCUCUUUUAUCGGGGAGCAAGCGAGAGUGAGUUUACCCGUUGAAUAAGCACCGGCUAACUACGUGCCAGCAGCCGCGGUAAUACGUAGGGUGCAAGCGUUAUCCGGAAUUAUUGGGCGUAAAGGGCUCGUAGGCGGUUCGUCGCGUCCGGUGUGAAAGUCCAUCGCUUAACGGUGGAUCCGCGCCGGGUACGGGCGGGCUUGAGUGCGGUAGGGGAGACUGGAAUUCCCGGUGUAACGGUGGAAUGUGUAGAUAUCGGGAAAGAACCACCA
RNAcentral lists this ribosomal RNA (552 nucleotides) under Bifidobacterium longum subsp. suillum. RNAcentral describes it as "bacterial SSU rRNA". It matches the Rfam family "Bacterial small subunit ribosomal RNA", at positions 146 to 711 of the family's 1533-position model. Lineage: Bacteria; Bacillati; Actinomycetota; Actinomycetes; Bifidobacteriales; Bifidobacteriaceae. The record is from RNAcentral.